GACGAACGCUGGCGGCGUGCUUAACACAUGCAAGUCGAACGGAAAGGCCCUGCUUUUGUGGUGUUCUCGAGUGGCGAACGGGUGAGUAACACGUGAGUAACCUGCCCUUUACUUUGGGAUAACUUCAGGAAACUGGGGCUAAUACCGGAUAGGAGCUCCUGCUGCAUGGUGGGGGUUGGAUAGUUUCGGCGGUUGGGGAUGGACUCGCGGCUUAUCAGCUUGUUGGUGGGGUAGUGGCUUACCAAGGCUUUGACGGGUAGCCGGCCUGAGAGGGUGACCGGCCACAUUGGGACUGAGAUACGGCCCAGACUCCUACGGGAGGCAGCAGUGGGGAAUAUUGCACAAUGGGCGGAAGCCUGAUGCAGAAACGCCGCGUGCGGGAUGACGGCCUUCGGGUUGUAAACCGCUUUAGCCUGUGACGAAGCGUGAGUGACGGUAAUGGGUAAAGAAGCACCGGCUAACUACGUG
This 468-nucleotide ribosomal RNA is filed under the name uncultured bacterium. Its description in RNAcentral is "partial 16S ribosomal RNA". It matches the Rfam family "Bacterial small subunit ribosomal RNA", at positions 28 to 507 of the family's 1533-position model. The record is from RNAcentral.